RNAcentral lists this transfer RNA (75 nucleotides) under Candidatus Kaiserbacteria bacterium RIFCSPHIGHO2_01_FULL_55_79. RNAcentral's name for it is "tRNA-His". It matches the Rfam family "tRNA". Rfam says of the family: Transfer RNA (tRNA) molecules are approximately 80 nucleotides in length. Their secondary structure includes four short double-helical elements and three loops (D, anti-codon, and T loops). RNAcentral also lists the same sequence under 3 other names. The record is from RNAcentral. Lineage: Bacteria; Candidatus Kaiseribacteriota.
GCGACCGUGGUGUAACGGUUAACACUGGUGCUUGUGGAGCACUCGAUCCGAGUUCAAUUCUCGGCGGUCGCCCCG